Molecule: ribosomal RNA, 282 nt
Filed under: uncultured bacterium
Lineage: Bacteria
Description: partial 16S ribosomal RNA
Rfam family: Bacterial small subunit ribosomal RNA
Source: RNAcentral
UGCUGCCUACGGGGGGCAGCAGUGGGGAAUAUUGCACAAUGGGGGAAACCCUGAUGCAGCAACGCCGCGUGAAGGAAGACGGUUUUCGGAUUGUAAACUUCUUUUCUUAGUGAAGAAGCAAGUGACGGUAGCUAAAGAAUAAGCAUCGGCUAACUACGUGCCAGCAGCCGCGGUAAUACGUAGGAUGCGAGCGUUAUCCGGAAUUACUGGGUGUAAAGGGAGCGCAGGCGGGACUGCAAGUUGGAUGUGAAAUAACGCAGCUUAAAUGCUGAGCUGCAUCCA